This is a non-coding RNA of Lolium perenne, 497 nucleotides long. NCBI's taxonomy places the organism in Eukaryota, Viridiplantae, Streptophyta, Magnoliopsida, Poales, Poaceae. The record is from RefSeq and is a predicted model, not a curated record.
AUAUGUACUAAUAGUCUCUUGCAAUUUGUGUGGAUUUGGCAGUGGCACGUUUCGAUUUCCUGUGGGGAGAUGCCACAUACCUCGAGGCCACACUCGAGAAUCUCGAGUUCUCUAAUGAACUUGGAUGUAAGGGCGGCCCUGGUGUGGGAGGCGGCGUGGCCUCGGCAGAAGGACCAGACGGAGUCCAGUGUGGAAGGGAGCAAGAAGGAAGGGACAAUUUUUUCGGGUCGAUUAUUGUUGUUCUGGGUUGAUUACCACAUCAACUAAGUUGUGUUCUCUUUUAAGCUCUCGAUCUGGAGCUGUACAUGCCCAGGAUGGUCUUGACAGCGCUGCUGCUGCUACUGGUUAAUUAUGAGGACUUGGUGCUCCAUUAUCUCCUCAUGUCACUUAUGUGGGUGGCGAGGAGAUCAACGAGAUGUCUCGCACCUCCGGUGCACGAUGACAAGAUGGUGGGGCCUUUUGGCGUUCUUGCAAUCCGGUUUCCUCGGCCAGAGUUG